RNAcentral lists this ribosomal RNA (495 nucleotides) under uncultured bacterium. RNAcentral's name for it is "partial 16S ribosomal RNA". It matches the Rfam family "Bacterial small subunit ribosomal RNA", at positions 28 to 507 of the family's 1533-position model. The record is from RNAcentral.
GACGAACGCUGGCGGCGUGCCUAAUACACGCAAGUAGAACGCUGAAGGAGGAGCUUGCUUCUCUGGAUGAGUUGCGAACGGGUGAGUAACGCGUAGGUAACCUGCCUGGUAGCGGGGGAUAACUAUUGGAAACGAUAGCUAAUACCGCAUAACAGUAGAUAUCGCAUGAUAUCUACUUGAAAGGUGCAAUUGCAUCACUACCAGAUGGACCUGCGUUGUAUUAGCUAGUUGGUGAGGUAACGGCUCACCAAGGCGACGAUACAUAGCCGACCUGAGAGGGUGAUCGGCCACACUGGGACUGAGACACGGCCCAGACUCCUACGGGAGGCAGCAGUAGGGAAUCUUCGGCAAUGGACGGAAGUCUGACCGAGCAACGCCGCGUGAGUGAAGAAGGUUUUCGGAUCGUAAAGCUCUGUUGUAAGAGAAGAACGAGUGUGAGAGUGGAAAGUUCACACUGUGACGGUAUCUUACCAGAAAGGGACGGCUAACUACGUG